AUUGGCAUUAAAAUAAAACAAUUUAAUUUUUUUUGCAAAAUUUCUCAAAAAAAACAUAAGGGGUAAGCCUUAUGAAAUUUUCGAGUGGAAUUUUUUUUUGAAAUUUUUUUCUGAUUUUUUAUUCUUUUUUUAAUUUAAAGCACUAUUUAAGUGAAAAGAAACUUAUUGCAACAAAUUCCCAUCAAAAUAUAUCACAUUUAAAAUUUUUGCUACAUUGCUCAAAAAUGAGGAAAAUUUUACAUUUUCUCAAACAGGGUAAGGAACUUGGUUCCUCGAAUAACUUCUGGCACAGGCAUCUGAGGGCAUGGCUGUCCAAGAAGAAAAUGUAGCCAUUGUUGCCAUCUAUCGACCACAGGUUAAAGAUUGGCGAUUCGUUGGAUACCGACCGAGUUAUAGGCAAAAUUUGGUGCAAAAAUGAGGAAAAUUUUCUUUUUUUUGAAUUUUUUGAUUUUUUUUAUUAUUUUUCACUCUUUUUUUUAUUUUAAGCAUUAUUAGAGUGAAAAGAAACUCAUUGCAACCCAUUGGCAUUAAAAUAAAACAAUUUAAUUUUUUUUGCAAAAUUUCCCAAAAAAUCGUAAGGGGUAAGCCUUAUGAAAUUUUCGAGUGGAAAUUUUUUUUGAAUUUUUUUUUGAAUUUUUAUUCUUUUUUUAAUUUAAAGCACUAUUUAAGUGCAAAGAAACUUAUUGCAACAAAUUCCCAUCAAAAUAUAUCACAUUUAAAAUUUUUGCUACAUUGCUCAAAAAUGAGGAAAAUUUUACAUUUUCUCAAACCGGGUAAGGAACUUGGUUCCUCAAAUAACUUCUGGUACAGACAUCUAAGGGCAUGGCUGUCCAAGAAGAAAAUGUAGCCAUUGUUGCCAUCUAUCGACCACAGGUUAAAGUUUGGCGAUUCGUUGGAUACCGACCGAGUUAUAGGCAAAAUUUGGUGCAAAAAUGAGGAAAAUUUUCUUUUUUUUUUAAUUUUUUGAUUUUUUUUAUUAUUUUUCACUCUUUUUUUUUAUUUUAAGCAUUAUUAGAGUGAAAAGAAACUCAUUGCAACCCAUUGGCAUUAAAAUAAAACAAUUUAAUUUUUUUUGCAAAAUUUCCCAAAAAAUCGUAAGGGGUAAGCCUUAUGAAAUUUUCGAGUGGAAAUUUUUUUUGAAUUUUUUUUUGAAUUUUUAUUCUUUUUUUAAUUUAAAGCACUAUUUAAGUGCAAAGAAACUUAUUGCAACAAAUUCCCAUCAAAAUAUAUCACAUUUAAAAUUUUUGCUACAUUGCUCAAAAAUGAGGAAAAUUUUACAUUUUCUCAAACCGGGUAAGGAACUUGGUUCCUCAAAUAACUUCUGGUACAGACAUCUAAGGGCAUGGCUGUCCAAGAAGAAAAUGUAGCCAUUGUUGCCAUCUAUCGACCACAGGUUAAAGUUUGGCGAUCCGUUGGAUACCGACCGAGUUAUAGGCAAAACUUGGUGCAAAAAUGAAGAAAAUUUUACAUUUUCUCAAACCGGGUAAGGAACUUGGUUCCUCAAAUAACUUCUGGCACAGACAUCUGAGGGCAUGGCUGUCCAAGAAGAAAAUGUAGCCAUUGGUGCCAUCUAUCGACCACAGGUUAAAGUUUGGCGAUUCGUUGGAUACCGACCGAGUUAUAGGCAAAAUUUGGUGCAAAAAUGAGGAAAAUUUUCAUUUUUUUUUUAAUUUUUUGAUUUUUUUUAUUAUUUUUCACUCUUUUUUUAUUUCAAGCAUUAUUAGAGUGAAAAGAAACUCAUUGCAACCCGUUGGCAUUAAAAUAAAACAAUUUAAUUUUUUUUGCAAAAUUUCCCAAAAAAAUCGUAAGGGGUAAGCCUUAUGAAAUUUUCGAGUGGAAAAUUUUUUUGAAAUUAUUUUCUGAUUUUUUAUUCUUUUUUAAAUUUAAAGCACUAUUUAAGUGAAAAGAAACUUAUUGCAACAAAUUCCCAUCAAAAUAUAUCACAUUUAAAAUUUUUGCUACAUUGCUCAAAAAUGAGAAAAAUUUUACAUUUUCUCAAACAGGGUAAGGAACAUGGUUCCUCGAAUAACUUCUGGCACAGACAUCUGAGGGCAUGGCUGUCCAAGAAGAAAAUGUAGCCAUUGUUGCCAUCUAUCGACCACAAGUUAAAGAUUGGCGAUUCGUUGGAUACCGACCGAGUUAUAGGCAAAACUUGGUGCAAAAAUGAGGAAAAUUUUACAUUUUCUCAAACAGGGUAUGGAACUUGGUUCCUCGAAUAACUUCUGGCGCAGACAUCUGAGCGCAUUGCUGUCCAAGAAGAAAAUGUAGCCAUUGUUGCCAUCUAUCGACCACAAGUUAAAGUUUGGCGAUUCGUUGGAUACCGACCGAGUUAUAGGCAAAAUUUGGUGCAAAAAUGAGGAAAAUUUUCUUUUUUUUUGAAUUUUUUGUUUUUUUUUAUUAUUUUUCACUCUUUUUUUUAUUUUAAGCAUUAUUAGAGUGAAAAGAAACUCAUUGCAACCCAUUGGCAUUAAAAUAAAACAAUUUAAUUUUUUUUGCAAAAUUUCCCAAAAAAUCGUAAGGGGUAAGCCUUAUGAAAUUUUCGAGUGGAAUUUUUUUUUGAAAUUAUUUUCUGAUUUUUUAUUCUUUUUUUAAUUUAAAGCACUAUUUAAGUGAAAAGAAACUUAUUGCAACAAAUUCCCAUCAAAAUAUAUCACAUUUAAAAUUUUUGCUACAUUGCUCAAAAAUGAGGAAAAUUUUACAUUUCCUCAAACAGGGUAUGGAACUUGGUUCCUCGAAUAACUUCUGGCACAGACAUCUAAGGGCAUGGCUGUCCAAGAAGAAAAUGUAGCCAUUGUUGCCAUCUAUCGACCACAGGUUAAAGUUUGGCGAUCCGUUGGAUACCGACCGAGUUAUAGGCAAAACUUGGUGCAAAAAUGAAGAAAAUUUUACAUUUUCUCAAACCGGGUAAGGAACUUGGUUCCUCAAAUAACUUCUGGCACAGACAUCUGAGGGCAUGGCUGUCCAAGAAGAAAAUGUAGCCAUUGGUGCCAUCUAUCGACCACAGGUUAAAGUUUGGCGAUUCGUUGGAUACCGACCGAGUUAUAGGCAAAAUUUGGUGCAAAAAUGAGGAAAAUUUUCAUUUUUUUUUAAUUUUUUGAUUUUUUUUAUUAUUUUUCACUCUUUUUUUAUUUCAAGCAUUAUUAGAGUGAAAAGAAACUCAUUUGCAACCCAUUGGCAUUAAAAUAAAACAAUUUAAUUUUUUUUGCAAAAUUUCCCAAAAAAUCGUAAGGGGUAAGCCUUAUGAAAUUUUCGAGUGGAAAAUUUUUUUGAAAUUAUUUUCUGAUUUUUUAUUCUUUUUUUAAUUUAAAGCACUAUUUAAGUGAAAAGAAACUUAUUGCAACAAAUUCCCAUCAAAAUAUAUCACAUUUAAAAUUUUUGCUACAUUGCUCAAAAAUGAGAAAAAUUUUACAUUUUCUCAAACAGGGUAAGGAACAUGGUUCCUCGAAUAACUUCUGGCACAGACAUCUGAGGGCAUGGCUGUCCAAGAAGAAAAUGUAGCCAUUGUUGCCAUCUAUCGACCACAAGUUAAAGAUUGGCGAUUCGUUGGAUACCGACCGAGUUAUAGGCAAAACUUGGUGCAAAAAUGAGGAAAAUUUUACAUUUUCUCAAACAGGGUAUGGAACUUGGUUCCUCGAAUAACUUCUGGCGCAGACAUCUGAGCGCAUUGCUGUCCAAGAAGAAAAUGUAGCCAUUGUUGCCAUCUAUCGACCACAGGUUAAAGUUUGGCGAUUCGUUGGAUACCGACCGAGUUAUAGGCAAAAUUUGGUGCAAAAAUGAGGAAAAUUUUCAUUUUUUUUGAAUUUUUUGAUUUUUUUUAUUAUUUUUCACUCUUUUUUUAUUUCAAGCAUUAUUAUAGUGAAAAGAAACUCAUUUGCAACCCAUUGGCAUUAAAAUAAAACAAUUUAAUUUUUUUUGCAAAAUUUCCCAAAAAAAUCGUAAGGGGUAAGCCUUAUGAAAUUUUCGAGUGGAAAUUUUUUUUGAAAUUAUUUUCUGAUUUUUUAUUCUUUUUUUAAUUUAAAGCAUUAUUUAAGUGAAAAGAAACUUAUUGCAACAAAUUUCCAUCAAAAUAUAUCACAUUUAAAAUUUUUGCUACAUUGCUCAAAAAUGAGAAAAAUUUUACAUUUUCUCAAACAGGGUAAGGAACAUGGUUCCUCGAAUAACUUCUGGCACAGACAUCUGAGGGCAUGGCUGUCCAAGAAGAAAAUGUAACCAUUGUUGCCAUCUAUCGACCACAAGUUAAAGAUUGGCGAUUCGUUGGAUACCGACCGAGUUAUAGGCAAAACUUGAUGCAAAAAUGAGGAAAAUUUUCUUUUUUUUGAAUUUUUUGAUUUUUUUUUAUUAUUUUUCACUCUUUUUUUUAUUUGAAGCAUUAUUAGAGUGAAAAGAAACUCAUUGCAACCCGUUGGCAUUAAAAUAAAACAAUUUAAUUUUUUUUGCAAAAUUUCCCAAAAAAAUCGUAAGGGGUAAGCCUUAUGAAAUUUUCGAGUGGAAAAUUUUUUUGACAUUUUUUUCUGAUUUUUUAUUCUUUUUUAAAUUUAAAGCACUAUUUAAGUGAAAAGAAACUUAUUGCAACAAAUUCCCAUCAAAAUAUAUCACAUUUAAAAUUUUUGCUACAUUGCUCAAAAAUGAGGAAAAUUUUACAUUUUCUCAAACAGGGUAAGGAACUUGGUUCCUCGAAUAACUUCUGGCACAGACAUCUGAGGGCAUGGCUGUCCAAGAAGAAAAUGUAGCCAUUGUUGCCAUCUAUCGACCACAAGUUAAAGAUUGGCGAUUCGUUGGAUACCGACCGAGUUAUAGGCAAAACUUGGUGCAAAAAUGAGGAAAAUUUUACAUUUUCUCAAACAGGGUAAGGAACUUGGUUCCUCAAAUAACUUCUGGCACAGACAUCUAAGGGCAUGGCUGUCCAAGAAGAAAAUGUAGCCAUUGUUGCCAUCUAUCGACCACAGGUUAAAGUUUGGCGAUUCGUUGGAUACCGACCGAGUUAUAGGCAAAAUUUGGUGCAAAAUGAGGAAAAUUUUCAUUUUUUUUGAAUUUUUUGAUUUUUUUUAUUAUUUUUCACUCUUUUUUUUAUUUUAAGCAUUAUUAGAGUGAAAAGAAACUCAUUGCAACCCAUUGGCAUUAAAAUAAAACAAUUUAAUUUUUUUGCAAAAUUUCCCAAAAAAAUCGUAAGGGGUAAGCCUUAUGAAAUUUUCGAGUGGAAUGUUUUUUUGACAUUUUUUUCUGAUUUUUCCCAAAUUCCCAUCAAAAUAUAUCACAUUUAAAAUUUUUGCUACAUUGCUCAAAAAUGAGGAAAAUUUUACAUUUUCUCAAACAGGGUAAGGAACAUGGUUCCUCGAAUAACUUCUGGCACAGACAUCUGAGGGCAUGGC
Molecule: long non-coding RNA, 5369 nt
Organism: Anopheles funestus (African malaria mosquito)
Lineage: Eukaryota; Metazoa; Arthropoda; Insecta; Diptera; Culicidae
Exons: 4
Source: RefSeq, a predicted model, not a curated record